RNA transcript from Drosophila nasuta, 2949 nucleotides. RefSeq lists it as uncharacterized. The record is from RefSeq and is a predicted model, not a curated record. NCBI's taxonomy places the organism in Eukaryota, Metazoa, Arthropoda, Insecta, Diptera, Drosophilidae. The transcript is spliced from 4 exons.
UAAAAAAAAAAACUUGUACAAACAAAUAAGCAAUUUAAGCAUUAAAUUUAUAAAUUAAAUACAAAAUGAAUUUGGGUGCAAUUAACUUUGACUGUUGGUUGACAAUAAUCAAAUACUUAAACCUCAACGAUCAGCUGGCGCUUUAUGAAGCCACUCAUGGAGUCUUAAAUGGCAUAAACUUAAGUCUAGUGUAUGGCUGGAAAAAACAGCAUUGCUUUAGACUUGAUGGAAUAAGCAUUAAGUUCUUUGAGCAGAUGCCGGAAGUGUUGGACAUUUUCCUCUCCAGCAUAAGUGCAACAAUACAGGAAUUGCAACUGAAGUUCGCCUCAGUGGAGUUUCUCCAACAAUGGGAGAAGUACACAUUUUCAAACAUUGAAACACUGGAAUGCAUAUUCGAUGAUCGUCGCUGCCAUAAACCAUCUACCGAUGAGGAAAUACAUCUACUGACAAAGCUCUUUCCAAGACUGCGAUGCGUGAAGCUUGGUGCCGCAAUGCGGCAGUCAUCGAGACACUUGCGACACGUGGACUGGGGCACCUGGGAGCAGGGCCGUAGAGGCAAUAAUUGCCCCAAAGGAAUCGCCAGGUGGCAGCUGCUGGAAGAACUAACAUUGUCUUAUCAUUUCCGGUUGCCUUUCUUUAAUGACGGAAUCGUGUCGUUGCCCAACCUACAGUCAAUUACCUUUUACCAGAAUGAACUCGAAAACGAUUUGGAUGAGAUGCUAAAGGAACGUUGGAAGGACGUACAUAGAAUGAUCCUUAAUGAUUGCAUUGACAAAUACAGCUGGGAAAAGCUACGUAAGCUGACAAGCUUGCAUCACUUGACAAUAGUUCACGAUGAAUUUUUCACCCGAGGAAUCAUAAACAAAGUAGUUGAGAAAAUGAAUCAACUGGAGCAACUGGAUCUUGUCGACUUUGAAAACUGGUAUUCUGAUGAUGGCCUGUGGCAACUUGUUGGUUAUUGUCCAUUGCUAAAGAUCCUAAAUAUAUCAGGCAUGGAUCUAAAACCCUCAUUCUUUAAUGUAAACAGGAGUCUCAUGGAGAAGGCAAUGAAAAAGCAUUGUCAGACCCUAACAUUGUAUUGCGGCAAAAGGGACUCGGAAAUCGAAGAACUGUUUCGUCAGCAUUUUAACCAUCCAGAAGUCACGCUCUCCUUUGAACCUGUAAAUGUGGAAUUACUAAAUUCGAAUAUGGUGAAAAUCCACUUUUAACCUUUGCCAUUCUAGUCAACUAUGUACAAUGUGAUACUUUCCAAGAGGAUUUUUGUAUUUUUCAUUAAAAUUGCUGUGCUGCAGGAACCAUGAAUAUGGUUCCAAAUAAUCGUAUAUAAUUAUAAAUGGCAUCACCUUAGCUCUUUAAUAAUAAACAGUCUUAUACAACAGUGUUCUACCACUAACCAUAUAAACUAUAUACCGUUCGUUGAGGGGGGGAGGAGUUAACAUGCCCCUCUCUCCGGCCAUAUGGAAUAAUGCAGAUCCGGAAACUCCAAGCCUACUCUAUGCAACUCUGACAAUAAUACGCUCAUACAUAGAUUCUGACAUACACACAUGUACAUGCCUUUUGUGAUAAAUUCUCACUGACGAAAUAGUCAGUCUUAUUCUGUUCUCAAAACAGUACAGUGCUUUUGUUUUUAUUGUUAUCGAUAACUAGUAAUAUCGGUUUUAUCCAUUUCUGGUUCCAUUUAGAUGUUAACAAAUUUAUUUAUAAAUUAACUACGCAAUGAACUCACUAAACUACGACUGCUUGAUGAUGAUAAUUAAAUACUUAAAUCUUAACGAUCAACUGUCGAUAUAUGAAGCUACUAAAGGCCAUUCAAAUCACUUGAACUCAAGUGUGUUUUCUGCCUGGAAGCACCAGCUCUGCUUUGAACUGAAUCCAGAAAACUUUCUGAAGUUUGAAGAGAAGCCAGAAAUGUUGGACAUAUUUCUGUCUAGCACUAGUGCAACAAUGCAGGAAUUGAAACUAGAAUGUGUUACAGAGAGGUUCCUCAAACGCUGGCAGAAUUUCACAUUUUCGAACAUGAAAACUCUGGAAUAUACAUUAAAGAGCUGCGAUUGGAAUUAUGAUGUUGACAAAGCGAUAGAAAUAAUGAUAAAGCUCUUUCCUGGACUGCGCUGUGUGAAGACUCAUGAUGGAUUCCAUUAUGGUUGGCUGCAUAAAUGGUCGCAGUUGCGCAAACUGGAGUUGAGCAGUUGGCAGGAGUUUUAUGUACAUGCGGCCCCCCGAAAUGAUUAUAAAGGGUCAGCUGUUGGAGGAGGUGACACUGCCGUGUGACUUUUUUCGGCCUGAGUUUUUUUGAGGCGCUCAUGGAGUUGCCCAAGCUGCGUACACUUACUUAUUAUGUGUUUGAUCGCGAUGACAUUUUAGACGUGCUGCUGGAGAAGCGUGGCAGCGACAUACAUAAGAUUACCUUUCACGAUUGCAUAUGGAUACACAGCAUGACCACAUUGUGCAAACUGAGCCACUUGCACCAAUUGACAUCGAAUGGGGAGCAUUUCACAGGCGAAGAACUAUGCAAACUGAUUACGGAUUUAAGGCACUUGCAGCGAAUGGAUAUCAUCGACCAUCUGGUGAUGUUGAAUGAGGCAAAGCUGUGGCAAGCAGUUGCCAGCUGUCCAUCGCUAAAGAUCCUGAAUAUAUCGGGCAUAAAGCUGCACAAUAAAUUCUUUGAAUUUAGCCGGUGUCUCAUGGAGGCGACACUGAAGAAUCGUUCUGAGCCCUUAGUAUUGUAUUGCCACAACACAGAUAAAAAUGAAAAGCUGAUACAGCGUCACUUCAAGCAUCCAAAUCUGAAGAUGUCUUUUAAGCCUUUAGAACCGGAAAACAUCGGCAGGUGUAUGGUGCGACUGCAUUUGAAACCGUUGGACCCAUCCUGAAUUCCAUAAUGUGAUACUUUUCAUUAAUGACAUUUACAAAUAUUAUAAUUACAAUAAAUGAUUCAAAACACUAUAA